Molecule: long non-coding RNA, 488 nt
Organism: Patella vulgata (common limpet)
Lineage: Eukaryota; Metazoa; Mollusca; Gastropoda; Patellidae
Exons: 4
Source: RefSeq, a predicted model, not a curated record
UAAAUGAUGCCAGGUAUAAGUAUGGUGUGUUUAGCCAUGUUCCAACAGUUACCCCGUCUAAAUUAGCCCAGUCGGAGCAGAACAGUAGGACGUUAAACCUCAUUUCAUUUCAACAUUUACCUGAGUAUUGGCGAAUAUUUGUGGCAGAAACAAAAAGUGACCUACUAUUAGAUUCAAGAUGGCUACGAUGUUUGUUAAAGUUAUGAUAGUACUGGUUUUGGUUGGAAUUCUUAGUGUUCACGUUAAUGGCGGUAUGUGGGAAUACUUUAUAAAGGAGAAUGACGUUGAUAGCGAUGGCGUAUUAAAGGGUGCCGAGGAGUUGGCCAAGUUAAAGGCGUCGUUGAUGAAACUACUACGUAUAAGCGAGGACACAGCUCAAACGGCCAUUGAUUCGGCUGAUACAAACUAUAAUGGGGAGAUUAACGCAGAAGAAUAUGGAAGAAUGAGAACGGAGUUAUUGGAAUAAAUUAAAAUUGGAUUAUACUAUG